Molecule: ribosomal RNA, 979 nt
Filed under: Montagnula aquatica
Lineage: Eukaryota; Fungi; Ascomycota; Dothideomycetes; Pleosporales; Didymosphaeriaceae
Description: SSU rRNA
Rfam family: Eukaryotic small subunit ribosomal RNA
Source: RNAcentral
UGGCUCAUUAAAUCAGUUAUCGUUUAUUUGAUAGUACCUUACUACUUGGAUAACCCGUGGUAAUUCUAGAGCUAAUACAUGCUAAAAACCCCAACUUCGGGAGGGGUGUAUUUAUUAGAUAAAAAACCAAUGCCCUCCGGGGCUCCUUGGUGAUUCAUAAUAACUUCUCAGAUCGCAUAGCCUUGAGCUGGCGACGGUUCAUUCAAAUUUCUGCCCUAUCAACUUUCGAUGGUAAGGUAGUGGCUUACCAUGGUUUCAACGGGUAACGGGGAAUUAGGGUUCGAUUCCGGAGAGGGAGCCUGAGAAACGGCUACCACAUCCAAGGAAGGCAGCAGGCGCGCAAAUUACACAAUUCCGAUGCGGAGAUGUAGUGACAAUAAAUACUGAUACAGGGCUCUUUUGGGUCUUGUAAUUGGAAUGAGUACAAUUUAAACCUCUUAACGAGGAACAAUUGGAGGGCAAGUCUGGUGCCAGCAGCCGCGGUAAUUCCAGCUCCAAUAGCGUAUAUUAAAGUUGUUGCAGUUAAAAAGCUCGUAGUUGAACCUUUGGCCUGGCUGGCAGGUCCGCCUCACCGCGUGCACUUGUCCGGCCGGGCCUUUUCUUCUGGAGAACCGCAUGCCCUUCACUGGGUGUGUUGGGGACCAGGACUUUUACUUUGAAAAAAUUAGAGUGUUCAAAGCAGGCCUUUGCUCGAAUACGUUAGCAUGGAAUAAUAGAAUAGGACGUUGCGGUCCUAUUUUGUUGGUUUCUAGGACCGCCGUAAUGAUUAAUAGGGACAGUCGGGGGCAUCAGUAUUCAAUUGUCAGAGGUGAAAUUCUUGGAUUUAUUGAAGACUAACUACUGCGAAAGCAUUUGCCAAGGAUGUUUUCAUUAAUCAGUGAACGAAAGUUAGGGGAUCGAAGACGAUCAGAUACCGUCGUAGUCUUAACCAUAAACUAUGCCGACUAGGGAUCGGGCGGUGUUUCUAAUGUGACCCGCU